Molecule: non-coding RNA, 76 nt
Organism: Xanthomonas fragariae
Lineage: Bacteria; Pseudomonadati; Pseudomonadota; Gammaproteobacteria; Lysobacterales; Lysobacteraceae
Source: Rfam
UCGAACCACGCGUACACUGCCGUUCCUCCACGCCGUCCGCACCCACCUGGCGGCUGCUCGCUACGUUUUUUUAGCC